Molecule: ribosomal RNA, 936 nt
Filed under: Keissleriella cladophila
Lineage: Eukaryota; Fungi; Ascomycota; Dothideomycetes; Pleosporales; Lentitheciaceae
Description: eukaryotic LSU rRNA
Rfam family: Eukaryotic large subunit ribosomal RNA
Source: RNAcentral
UACCCGCUGAACUUAAGCAUAUCAAUAAGCGGAGGAAAAGAAACCAACAGGGAUUGCCCUAGUAACGGCGAGUGAAGCGGCAACAGCUCAAAUUUGAAAUCUGGCCUCCUUUGGGGGUCCGAGUUGUAAUUUGCAGAGGGUGCUUUGGCGUCGGCAGCGGUCUAAGUUCCUUGGAACAGGACAUCACAGAGGGUGAGAAUCCCGUACGUGGUCGCCUGCCUUCGCCGUGUAAAGCCCCUUCGACGAGUCGAGUUGUUUGGGAAUGCAGCUCUAAAUGGGAGGUAAAUUUCUUCUAAAGCUAAAUACCGGCCAGAGACCGAUAGCGCACAAGUAGAGUGAUCGAAAGAUGAAAAGCACUUUGGAAAGAGAGUCAAACAGCACGUGAAAUUGUUGAAAGGGAAGCGCUUGCAGCCAGACUUGCUCGUAGUUGCUCAUCCGGGUCCGCCCGGAGCACUCUUCUGCGAGCAGGCCAGCAUCAGUUUGGGCGACCGGAUAAAGGCCUCUGUCAUGUAUCUUCCUUCGGGAUGACCUUAUAGGGGAGGCGUAAUGCGGCCAGCCCGGACUGAGGUCCGCGCUUCUGCUAGGAUGCUGGCGUAAUGGCUGUAAGCGGCCCGUCUUGAAACACGGACCAAGGAGUCUAACAUCUAUGCGAGUGUUUGGGUGUCAAGCCCGGGCGCGUAAUGAAAGUGAACGGAGGUGGGAACCCUCUCCGGGGGGUGCACCAUCGACCGAUCCUGAUGUCUUCGGAUGGAUUUGAGUAAGAGCAUAGCUGUUGGGACCCGAAAGAUGGUGAACUAUGCUUGAAUAGGGUGAAGCCAGAGGAAACUCUGGUGGAGGCUCGCAGCGGUUCUGACGUGCAAAUCGAUCGUCAAAUUUGGGCAUAGGGGCGAAAGACUAAUCGAACUAUCUAGUAGCUGGUUCCUGCCGAAGUUUCCC